CGCGUGCAGGAAGACUGCCCUAUGGGUUGUAAACUGCUUUUACAGAGGAAGAACCCUCCCCACGUGUGGGGAGUUGACGGUACUCUGCGAAUAAGGAUCGGCUAACUCCGUGCCAGCAGCCGCGGUAAUACGGAGGAUCCAAGCGUUAUCCGGAAUCAUUGGGUUUAAAGGGUCCGUAGGCGGGUUUAUAAGUCAGUGGUGAAAGUCUGCAGCUUAACUGUAGAACUGCCAUUGAUACUGUAGAUCUUGAAUCAUUAUGAAGUGGUUAGAAUGUGUAGUGUAGCGGUGAAAUGCAUAGAUAUUACACAGAAUACCGAUUGCGAAGGCAGAUCACUAAUAAUGUAUUGACGCUGAUGGACGAAAGCGUAGGUAGCGAACAGGAUUAGAUACCCUGGUAGUCUACGCCGUAAACGAUGGUUACUAGCUGUCCGGCCUAAUUGAGGGCUGGGUGGUUAAGCGAAAGUGAUAAGUAACCCACCUGGGGAGUACGUUCGCAAGAAUGAAACUCA
Molecule: ribosomal RNA, 509 nt
Filed under: Zunongwangia sp.
Lineage: Bacteria; Pseudomonadati; Bacteroidota; Flavobacteriia; Flavobacteriales; Flavobacteriaceae
Description: bacterial SSU rRNA
Rfam family: Bacterial small subunit ribosomal RNA
Source: RNAcentral